This 372-nucleotide ribosomal RNA is filed under the name uncultured prokaryote. RNAcentral's name for it is "bacterial SSU rRNA". It matches the Rfam family "Bacterial small subunit ribosomal RNA", at positions 524 to 896 of the family's 1533-position model. The record is from RNAcentral.
UACGUAGGGUGCGAGCGUUAAUCGGAAUUACUGGGCGUAAAGCGUGCGCAGGCGGUUAUACAAGACAGGCGUGAAAUCCCCGGGCUUAACCUGGGAAUGGCGCCUGUGACUGUAUAGCUAGAGUGUGUCAGAGGGGGGUAGAAUUCCACGUGUAGCAGUGAAAUGCGUAGAUAUGUGGAGGAAUACCAAUGGCGAAGGCAGCCCCCUGGGAUAACACUGACGCUCAUGCACGAAAGCGUGGGGAGCAAACAGGAUUAGAUACCCUGGUAGUCCACGCCCUAAACGAUGCUGACUAGUUGUUGGGAAUUUACAUUCUCAGUAACGUAGCUAACGCGUGAAGUCAGCCGCCUGGGGAGUACGGUCGCAAGAUUA